This 497-nucleotide ribosomal RNA is filed under the name uncultured bacterium. Its description in RNAcentral is "partial 16S ribosomal RNA". It matches the Rfam family "Bacterial small subunit ribosomal RNA", at positions 28 to 507 of the family's 1533-position model. The record is from RNAcentral.
GAUGAACGCUGGCGGCGUGCCUAAUACAUGCAAGUCGAGCGAUCAGACGAGUAGCUUGCUCCUCUGACGUUAGCGGCGGCCGGGUGAGUAACACGUGGCUAACUUACCUAUAAGAAUGGGAUAACUUCGUGAAACCGGAGCUAAUACCGGAUAAUAUAUUGAACCGCAUGGUUCUAUAGUUAAAGACGGUUUUGCUGUCACUUAUAGAUGGAUCCGCGCAGCAUUAGCUAGUUGGUAAGGCAACGGCUUUCCAAGGCUACGAUGUGUAGCCGAACUGAGAGGAUGAUCGGCCACACGGGAACUGAGACACGGUCCAGACUCCUACGGGAGGCAGCAGUAGGGAAUCUUCCGCAAUGGGCGAAAGCCUGACGCAGCAAUGCCGCGUGAGUGAUGAAGGUCUUCGGAUCGUAAAACUCUGUUAUUAGGGAAGAACAAAUUUGUAAGUAACUAUGCACGUCUUGACGGUACCUAAUCAGAAAGCCACGGCUAACUACGUG